Molecule: ribosomal RNA, 253 nt
Filed under: uncultured bacterium
Lineage: Bacteria
Description: partial 16S ribosomal RNA
Rfam family: Bacterial small subunit ribosomal RNA
Source: RNAcentral
UACGUAGGGUGCGAGCGUUAAUCGGAAUUACUGGGCGUAAAGCGUGCGCAGGCGGUUCGUUGUGUCUGAUGUGAAAGCCCCGGGCUUAACCUGGGAAUGGCAUUGGAAACUGGCGAGCUGGAGUGUGGCAGAGGGGGGUGGAAUUCCGCGUGUAGCAGUGAAAUGCGUAGAGAUGCGGAGGAACACCGAUGGCGAAGGCAGCCCCCUGGGCCAACACUGACACUGAGGAGCGAAAGCCAGGGGAGCAAACGGG